RNAcentral lists this long non-coding RNA (594 nucleotides) under Solanum tuberosum (potato). RNAcentral describes it as "long non-coding RNA (STUB_LNC009438)". Lineage: Eukaryota; Viridiplantae; Streptophyta; Magnoliopsida; Solanales; Solanaceae. The record is from RNAcentral.
ACGUUUCUCUCUUUUUCACAUAACAAAACAGCACCCCACCACCCCCACGUUCAAAGGUAAAAAAUUCUCUCUCACGUCUUCAUUCUUUUUCUUAGAAAUAGUAAAUCAUCUCUCUCACCAUAAUCAGUUUUCGUCGUUGUACACUCAAAAGAAAGACCAAAUCUUUUUCACAAUACUAAGAAUCAAGAUUUUAGGCUUUUCAAAAAAAGAUGAGCAUACACUUAGAAAGAGCUCAGAUUCGUAGAAGCGAGUUCUAAUGUUGAAAUUGAGGCUCCAUCUUUUAACAUCUUGACUCAAACGUCUUUGACCAACAAAAAUGCAAAUUCGGCGAACAAGAGUGUUACCCCUCACAAGAAGAAACAAAGCGCACUAAAGGAGAAGGAAAAAGAAGCAAAGAAAAUUGCAACUCCUCAAAAUCGAAAGGGACAAAAGAGAAAAGGGAAAAUGAUGGACUGCACAUAGCAAAAGAACAUUCUCUGGAUACUACCUAUUAUCCUGCACCAAGACCAAGGAGAUCAAUUGUUAUACAGAUGAUCGACUUAGACUUUCAUUCCACGUUUAUAUUUUAGGAUGUCGUUUAUUUAUUUAUUUUCA